GCUGCAUCAAAAUCCCUAUUUAAAAAUUAGCUUGGAUCUCCUUUAUUAUAGCUCUUCUAAUUGCAUACUAAAGCUUGUUGAAAAUCUAAUAAUGAGUUCUAACUUCCAUAAAAUUUUCAAAAUAAAAAGAAAAAAAAUCUAGUAAAUAGCAUUAAAAGUUCUAAUUAGUCUUUGAUUUUAUCACUUGAAAACUCUAGCAAAUUCCUUUCAACUAAUUCAUUGAAUCACCCUUAUCUCAACUUCUUUUCUUUAUAAAAUAGCUUAUUGAGAAGCUAACAAUAAGAUCUAACUUCUUUUAAAAUUUCAAAACAAAAAGAUGAAAAUUCAAAAAAUACAAUAGAAAACCUCGAAUCAAUCUUGAAUAUUGUUGCCUAAAAAUUCUAGCGACUUCUUUUUACAAAUGUAUAUGGUUUUUCCUCUUUAUAGCUCUAUUUCUUGAUUACUAUAGCUUUUUGAAAAGUUAAUACCACAAUAUAACUUCUUUUGACAUUUCAGAAUAAGAAAAAAAAAAUACAAGAAAUGGCCUAGAAAUCUCUAACAUAUCUUGAAUCUCGCCACCCAAAAACUCCAACGACCCCCUUUUUACAAAUUCGCAUGGUUCUUCCUCCUCAUAACUCCAUUUCUUGCAUACUAUAGCUUAUUGAAAAGCUCACAAUACGAUCUAACUUUGCUUAAAAUUUCAAAAUAAAAAAAUGAAAAU
This 700-nucleotide long non-coding RNA is filed under the name Physcomitrium patens. RNAcentral describes it as "long non-coding RNA (PPAT_LNC004804)". The record is from RNAcentral. Lineage: Eukaryota; Viridiplantae; Streptophyta; Bryopsida; Funariales; Funariaceae.